This 254-nucleotide ribosomal RNA is filed under the name uncultured bacterium. RNAcentral describes it as "partial 16S ribosomal RNA". It matches the Rfam family "Bacterial small subunit ribosomal RNA", at positions 524 to 776 of the family's 1533-position model. The record is from RNAcentral.
UACGUAGGGGGCAAGCGUUGUCCGGAUUCAUUGGGCGUAAAGAGCUCGUAGGCGGCUUGGCAAGUCGGGUGUGAAACCUCCAGGCUCAACCUGGAGACGCCACCCGAUACUGCCAUGGCUAGAGUCCGGUAGGGGACCACGGAAUUCCUGGUGUAGCGGUGAAAUGCGCAGAUAUCAGGAGGAACACCAAUGGCGAAGGCAGCUCUCUGGGACGGUACUGACGCUGAGACGCGAAAGCGUGGGGAGCGAACAGG